CACCUACGGGGGGCAGCAGUGAGGAAUAUUGGUCAAUGGGAGAGAUCCUGAACCAGCCAAGCCGCGUGAGGGAAGACGGCCCUAUGGGUUGUAAACCUCUUUUGUCGGAGAACAAAACCCGGGACGUGUCCCGGACUGCGUGUAUCCGAAGAAAAAGCAUCGGCUAACUCCGUGCCAGCAGCCGCGGUAAUACGUAGGUGGCAAGCGUUAUCCGGAUUUAUUGGGCGUAAAGCGAGCGCAGGCGGUUGCUUAGGUCUGAUGUGAAAGCCUUCGGCUUAACCGAAGAAGUG
RNAcentral lists this ribosomal RNA (290 nucleotides) under uncultured bacterium. RNAcentral's name for it is "partial 16S ribosomal RNA". It matches the Rfam family "Bacterial small subunit ribosomal RNA", at positions 335 to 623 of the family's 1533-position model. The record is from RNAcentral.